AGAUUGAACGCUGGCGGCAGGCCUAACACAUGCAAGUCGAACGGUAACAGAAAGCAGCUUGCUGCUUUGCUGACGAGUGGCGGACGGGUGAGUAAUGUCUGGGAAACUGCCUGAUGGAGGGGGAUAACUACUGGAAACGGUAGCUAAUACCGCAUAACGUCGCAAGACCAAAGAGGGGGACCUUCGGGCCUCUUGCCAUCGGAUGUGCCCAGAUGGGAUUAGCUUGUUGGUGGGGUAACGGCUCACCAAGGCGACGAUCUCUAGCUGGUCUGAGAGGAUGACCAGCCACACUGGAACUGAGACACGGUCCAGACUCCUACGGGAGGCAGCAGUGGGGAAUAUUGCACAAUGGGCGCAAGCCUGAUGCAGCCAUGCCGCGUGUAUGAAGAAGGCCUUCGGGUUGUAAAGUACUUUCAGCGGGGAGGAAGGGAGUAAAGUUAAUACCUUUGCUCAUUGACGUUACCCGCAGAAGAAGCACCGGCUAACUCCGUGCCAGCAGCCGCGGU
RNAcentral lists this ribosomal RNA (506 nucleotides) under uncultured bacterium. RNAcentral's name for it is "bacterial SSU rRNA". It matches the Rfam family "Bacterial small subunit ribosomal RNA", at positions 26 to 521 of the family's 1533-position model. The record is from RNAcentral.